Molecule: ribosomal RNA, 492 nt
Filed under: uncultured bacterium
Lineage: Bacteria
Description: partial 16S ribosomal RNA
Rfam family: Bacterial small subunit ribosomal RNA
Source: RNAcentral
AGUGAACGCUGGCGGUAGGCCUAACACAUGCAAGUCGAACGGCAGCACAGUAAGAGCUUGCUCUUACGGGUGGCGAGUGGCGGACGGGUGAGGAAUACAUCGGAAUCUACUUUUUCGUGGGGGAUAACGUAGGGAAACUUACGCUAAUACCGCAUACGACCUACGGGUGAAAGCAGGGGAUCUUCGGACCUUGCGCGAUUGAAUGAGCCGAUGUCGGAUUAGCUAGUUGGCGGGGUAAAGGCCCACCAAGGCGACGAUCCGUAGCUGGUCUGAGAGGAUGAUCAGCCACACUGGAACUGAGACACGGUCCAGACCCCUACGGGAGGCCGCAGUGGGGAAUAUUGGACAACGGGCGCAAGCCUGAUCCAGCCAUACCGCGUGGAUGAAGAAGGCCUUCGGGUUGUAAAGCCCUUUUGUUGGGAAAGAAAAGCAGCAGGUUAAUACCCCGCUGUUCUGACGGUACCCAAAGAAUAAGCACCGGCUAACUUCGUG